GCCCCAGGUUACAGAGUUGGUAACAGAACUCUGAUUUGUCCCCAGCAGUCCAAUUCCAGAGCCUUCUCCAUCUAUGGGCUCUAAGGAGGGGGGAAUAAAUUAUCAAGGACAGCGAGCUUUCUAGAAAGCGAAUCAGAUCCUGUCAUCUCCCUGUUAAAAACCCUUUCAGCAGCUUCCCCCUGCUUUCAGGAUGGAGACCAACUCCUUACCCAGACCUACAAAACCCUGUGUGGUCUGCACUGUGCCAGCCUCCACCACCUCCCUGCCCUCUGCCUGGGGCCUGUGCCUGCGCAAACAUGCCCGCCCCUCCCACUGAGGCUCUUCGGCCUGACUGUUCCCUCCGCACAAACUUCACUUCCCCUCUUCCCCUUCUGCUGAGGCUUAGCACUGGUCUCUUGUUCGUCUCCACCUGCGGCUCCUUCUCCACCUGCCCUCCAGAUGCGCUCAGGCCUGGGCCUCCUCUUCUCCAUCCAGCCACGCUCUCCAUCCCAUCUCAGGACUCCAAGUCGCAGAUCCACCCCAACGACCACAGCCACAUCUGCAGCCCACGUCUCCAUUCAGACGUCAGGUACCUCAGACUUAACCUGUCCAGGCCAAACUCCUGUUACCCCUGCCUGAUUUCAUUCCCAUUUCCCACCUCCAUAAAUCAACACCAUUUGACAUGGACAAUCCUAGUGUCAUUUUGGACUCCUUUCUUCCUCUGGCCUUUACAACCAAGUGCACAGAACAUCCUGUGGGCUCUGCCUUCAGAGUAG
Molecule: long non-coding RNA, 755 nt
Filed under: Fukomys damarensis (Damara mole-rat)
Lineage: Eukaryota; Metazoa; Chordata; Mammalia; Rodentia; Bathyergidae
Description: lncRNA (ENSFDAG00000032419.1)
Source: RNAcentral